RNAcentral lists this transfer RNA (92 nucleotides) under Kiritimatiellia bacterium. RNAcentral describes it as "Kiritimatiellae bacterium (gut metagenome) tRNA-Ser". It matches the Rfam family "tRNA". Rfam says of the family: Transfer RNA (tRNA) molecules are approximately 80 nucleotides in length. Their secondary structure includes four short double-helical elements and three loops (D, anti-codon, and T loops). The record is from RNAcentral. Lineage: Bacteria; Pseudomonadati; Kiritimatiellota; Kiritimatiellia.
GGAGAGGUGGCUGAGUGGCUGAAGGCAGCGGAUUGCUAAUUCGUCGUACAGUUAAUUCUGUACCGGGGGUUCAAAUCCCCCCCUCUCCGCCA